GAGAGAUUUCCAGAAUACAAAACACGGGAUUUCUUCAUAGCUGGAGAAAGCUAUGCAGGACAUUAUGUGCCUCAGUUCGCGCAACUUGUACUGCAUAACAACAAAAACACUAGCCAAACAGUCAUUAAUCUAAAAGGAAUAGCUGUAAGUUUGUAUCAAACAAGUUUGCUUAUUUCUUAAUCUUGAAUUGAAAGACCGACAAGAAUUUCUUAUGAUGUUCAGAUUGGCAAUGCUUACAUCGAUUAUAGAGCAAGAUUUGAAGGAAUGUAUGAUUUUCUAUGGACACAUGCUUUCAUUUCCGAUGAAGUUCAUGAUGGCAUCACUUUGAACUGCAAUUUUACUUCUGAUGCAACAAUUUCAGACACAUGUCAAUCCUUUCGCAGUCAAGCAAAAAUUGGCAGAAUCUUUAUCUACGAUGUUUAUGCUCCUCUGUGCACUUCUCCUCCAAGCAGUUCUCCAUCAGUAUGAUUCCGAUAUUCUUUUACAAAAUCUACAAAUUUUUUGAGUUACCUUGUAAUCAAUUGGUAUCUUGGAGCAGAUAUCAGCUUUUGAUCCAUGCUCAGAUGACUACAUUGAUGCUUACUUGAAUACCCCUGAAGUUCAGAAGUCACUUCAUGCAAAUGUCACUAAUCUUCCAUAUCCCUGGGAAUCCUGCAAGUAAAUCUUCUCAUUCAACAAACUUUUACAGAUAUAGAGUCCAGCAGUUUUUAUUAUAAAGUCGAUCUUCGUGUCUUAAUAUUAAUCUGUACCUGAUCUGAAUGCAGCUUUAAUAUUAACAUCGACUGGACGGACAAGCCCUUGACAGUGUUGCCUGUAAUCAAGGAACUAAUGGCCAGUGACAUCAGAGUUUGGAUCUACAGGUAACCUGAUUAAUGCCAUCAACUGAACAUCAAAAUCGUGUUUCAAGUUCUGAUAAUCAAAAUAAAAUUGCAGCGGAGAUACAGAUGGUAUAAUUCCAGUAACAUCAAGUAGAUAUGCCAUAGACAGACUCGAGACAUCGGUGACAACUCCAUGGUACCCUUGGUACACUCAAGGCGAGGUGAGAGCCUAAAAAACUGUGUUGCUGCGAAUAUUUAGUUUUAUGAGGUACUGACAGAGUUCUUGUCACUCCUUUAAGGUUGGAGGAUACGCGGUUGGAUAUCAGAACUUGACAUUUGUGACAAUCAGAGGUUCUGGACACUUUGUUCCCAGUUAUCAACCAUCUCGCGCUCUUACCUUGUUCACGUCAUUCUUGGCAGGAAAGCUUCCACCUUCGCAUUGAAACUAAACAAUGGAAUGCAACUUGAUGAACUAAAGAAGUUCCAAACACGUAUACACUUCUUCAGAUAUUCUGAUUUUAUGUUUGACUAUUCAUGUCAGUGCAUUAAAGCAACCAUAUUUUGCUAUAAUAUCAAGAAAAAACACAAUUUCAUCUGUCUAUAUGCACUAUUUUGCCUGUAGUCAAUACCAAAUCCGAUAGUCUCAACUCAAACUCUACAUAAGUUUGAUCAUUUAUUCCUAUCCUAAACUCUUGUUUUAGUGACUAGUAACUUGUAGCUCUGAUACAAACUGUGACAGCUCUGAAUCCAGGGUCAGCAUCGGGUGCCACAAAAACAAAAUAAGCUUGUAGAUAAUCAAAAUCAUGCAAAUGACCGCUCAAACUCAAGAUUGCGGGGCCUCGGCCCCCGGUCCGGGAUGACCUCAAAAACCCGACCCGAGGACACCAUUAUACUAAACAAACCAAAAUAUGUCUACAUAAUCUUCAAAUUAAUAUUACAACAUAAAUGUUUAACCUUACAUCAAAAGUCUUGCAUCAUAAGUCUCUAAAACUUCAUAAUACAAGUCUAAUACGAAUACACGUUAAAACACAUCUGUCUAUUACAAAGUACUUUUAUUAAAAUUCUACGACAAUCCAUCAAAGUCUAGUACCUCAGUUCAUCACAUUUUUAGCCUUGCCUGAAUAUCCUUCUCCUUUGCCAAAACUCUUUCCUGUAGAGUUAGUAACAUAUCACUAUUAACUUAAGCUAUAAUUAACUUUUUUUAAGUUGACCCAAACAGGCUCCUACAUUCUAAAUUCUAAGAGAUGCCAAAGCAUGUUACUCCAUCCCACUCAUUCUUUCCAAAUUUACUAUUUUCUUUGUCCUAAAAUAUAUUACCUCAGAUCUUCUCCCUCGAGACUUAGGGUCACAUUAAAGGCUUCCUUCACUUUGUGACUCAAUCGAAGUUGUCAAUCAGAAUUGGUGUAAUAUUGUCAGCCACAUUAAAUUGUCCAACUGUACGAGCGAAGAACACCAUUUGCUGCUCCAAUGUGGACUUUAUGUUCUCAGCCUGUAAUCAGAAAGAAGGAUGCAAAUGUCACAGUAAUUUUCUAUAUCCAUUAGACAAUGGACGCUUAUAGAUCAAUGUCACCAACUCUAUUUGUUAUUUCUAAUUAAGUUAUAACUAUAAUUUAAUACAGCAAGCUAGAGUAAAAUCAUUAGUUUAACAACAACAUUGACAACGAGAUGCAAUUUAGCAAUCGAAUAAAAUCAAAUAGUAGAGAAAAAAACUUCUCAGUCUUUAAGAUAUUCCAGGUACAGGAGGGACUGUUAAGUCCUAUUUAGUACUUACCUUCCUGAAUCCAUGGGAUUCUCCUUCAUACUCAACAAGAGCAACAGGUAACCCCUUUUUCUUUAAUGCCGCAUGAAUUUUACAAGCUUGCUCAGGAUUCACAACCUGCCAACAAUAUUGACAAAUAGAACACUUUAAUACAAAUGAUGGUCAUUGCUCUAUUAGUAUUCUGAUUAUAUAAGCAUAAUACCCUAUUUCCGAAUUCAGAUCAUUCCUAAAUAUUAAGAACUCAACUACUUUAAUUUUUACUUUCAACUGUCAUCCAUCCAACUAAUUUAUAAAUCUUCAUUCAGGGGACAGUUUUUCUGCCAUGGCCAUAUGUAGGUUACAUCCCCUCAUUCUCCAUUUGGUAACUAAAAGUCAUUUCAUCUCAUAAAAUCAUUUAAAACUCGGAACUAACUACAACACUAGAAAAUAAUUAGUAAGAACAUGUUAACAGAGCUGCAUACCGGAUCUUCCAAUCCCUGGAACAAAAUUAUAGGGCAAGAGAAUUUCUCAACAGAAUUGAUAGGUGACAGAUCAUGUAAGGCAGCUUCAUUCCCUAUAAUUAAAGAAAAUAUUUACUUCACAGAUUUAUGAUCUGAUAAUGGAAUAUCAAUAUAUAUAAUGAACAUAUUACCACUUACCAGCAAGAUUACUGAUGUAGUGACACUCAAAUUUAUGCAUAUCUGCACUCAAAGAGCUCAAGUCGGCUAUCUGCUCAUUCAAAAACAGUACCUAGACUUAGCAGAAAAUAAAUAAAAAGCACGACCGACAUUCAAUUAUUAAUUCAGUUGCAUAUUAAACUUCAGCUCUGAUGAUAACUGAGGAAAGGUCUUUUUAUAAGUAUACACUUUCAUUUGCCUAAACUAAAUCAACCAUCAUGACAACAAAAAUUUUAAAAUAAAAAUAUUUGUACUUCAAAUUUAUUGAUUUUAAAUAAAGCAUGUGCAAGUUUCACAUCCAUUACUUGCAAUAAAAAGCCCAGAUUGUGGCACCUGGAAUCAAGAACAUUUUCGCCUCAACUCCCUAAAUAGAAAGAGGGGACAUAUAAUACAUUCAGCAAUCCCUAGUACAUCCUGUUUUUAGCAGAGAAAACAUUAUGUGAUUCCUUACUAAAAUAUGAAGUAAAGGGAAAAACAGCCAACUUCAGGGAUAUUAACUCACACCAAACAAAGAAGAUCCAGCCUUGAAUCUCUCUCUAAAAGCAAGAGUAGCCAAUGCUGUGUAGCCACCUGCAGAGCAUCCAGUUAUGCAAAGACGCUCACUGUCUACUUUACCCUCAUCCACCUACAUUAAUACAUGUAUUAACAAAUAUGAAUGGAAAAAGGAAAUUUAUUAUAGAAAAAACAAUUUUGCAGUAUGAAUAGAAUAAUAAAUAUUAGGUGGGAGUCAAAGGCAUUAUGACUUGCCAAAAAUUUUGCACAUGAACAACAAUCAUUAACAUCAACAGCUCCCCAUGAUCCCAGAAGCCGCUCUCGGUAUUCCCUUCCAUAACCUUCAGUAUCCCAUUAAAAAACAAUUUCAGUACAUAAUAUAUUAUACAAAGUGGUUAAUACACAUUUAUUUUUUAACUAAAAUUUAUGGUACAUUACACUAAUAACAAGUUGGUGUAAGACAGUCUCAUAUUAGUUCAUAAAAAAUGAACAUUUUCAUGACAAUAGACCUAAUGGUCAAAGCCUCGAAUCGACCAAAGUUUAAACAGUUGAGUUAUAUAUCUGAUCUUAUUAUGCGAGCUUUCAAUUACAAACUCGAAUACUGAUAUCAGACUAUUAUAAUAUUUAUACACCGCCAGCACAAAUAUGCCGGUACUUCAAAUAUAAGAAAAUAUGUUUAUCUAGCUGAGUCUUUUAAUUUAUCACAGGACCAAAAGUUUGUUCACUAUCGAGUUGAGACACAGGUAUUGUAGUUCUUUUGGUGAUACUUCUUAACAGUUUUCUGGUAUGUUUAUGUUAUAUAAAAUUCAAGUUUUUUCACCGUUGAGUCGAGAGACAGGUACUAUAGUACUUUCGGUGAUACUUCUUAACAGUUUUCUGUUAUGUUUAUGUUAUAUAAAAUUCAAGUUUUUUCACCGCUGAGUCAAGAGACAGGUAAUAUAGUACUUUCGGUGAUAUUGUUUACUACCUAAAAUUCGUAUUGUUGAGCAUAAUAUAGUGGAUUACUGGAUUAUAUAGCAGAAAAUUUAUUAGACCAAAUUACACAAGACAUUCUGUUACAUGGAUUUGAUUAUUGGAAAAAAUGAAUUCACAAACCUGAGCCGAUGCAAUUAUUUUAAUAGAAGAAAAUACUAUUUUUAAUCCUCAAGAUUAGGGUACGGGUAUCAGCCAUGGAAAUGGAGGGUAUGUGACGGGAGGUAAAUAGGAACGCGAACCAUUUGGAAUUUCAGGAAAUAUGUAGGUAUGAUUUACCCAGAUACUUGGUGGUACCUAUCCCAAUCAAUCAUAUUGCUCAUCCUAACACUAGCAGAUAGGAUCAGUUUUCCGAUUCCCAUUAACUGGGUUCAUCAACCAUAAAACAAACUCCCACUAAAAUUUAAUAAAUAGGUGAAGAAGACAUAGAAAUAGAUAAGAUGACAAACCCGAACUUCCUCCAUAGUUCACAUCCACAAAUGCCCAGCCUCGACUUGUAUAAUACUGGAUAUUAAGAUCUAAAAUUCCAUGUGCCUCAUCUGUUGGACCUCCUGUGAUGGUACACGUUAAACUUUGAGUCCCCAUAUAAAAGCAAGACAUAAGUAUAUGUUCCUGCGACAGAAAAAGAAUUUGACAGAUAGGACAUUCAUUUCUCUACUUUUGCCUGCUACUAGAGUUCAUAACAUUGUUAUAUAUUUCCUAGAGUUCUAGUUGCAUCAAAAAUCAUGAACUCGUAAAUGAAAAUAAAAGAUCAUAUCUACUUGACAUCUGACAAACACAAUGAACAGAAAAAUAUAAUCACUGGUAGAUGAUCAGAAAUCCUAAGACACAAAAGUUGAACAUAACAGGCAACAAUACAAGAUAGAUACAAUAUAGCUUAUGGAUCCCUAUUCUCAAACUUAAAAUUUAUUCACCCUCUUACAGUCAAAUUUGAGAAAGCAGACAUUACUGAAGAGCAUCAAAUUAAUUUGUAAAAGUUUGUCACCAGCUCCAGCUUGCAGAUGAUGAGCAAGAAACACCAUAAAAGAAAACACAUUUACAUUGCAAUCUGUCAGUGCCAUAAAAAACGCACCAACCAUGAUAUUUUUUGUCUCUGCCUCUGCAAUCAAGUGUUCUUGUUACGCGAGUCAUCAUCUUGUACACAUAUGUUCUCAGUAAUAAAUAUCUUUAUAUUUAAUAUCUUGACUCUGUUACUACUAUGAGUUGGUUAAUGUUAUUGCUGCAAAACAGUUGGAGAUUGUACCAUGACUUUGUAACAAUAAAGGAGGUUUCUCCUCCUCAUUAAGCUUGUAAUUGAGAUUGUUGGGUGGAUAAAAGAAUGCAUAUGCUGUCUGAUCAGCAACAUCUGUUGGAAAUUCUAUUAACUCUGGUAUGCUGAAGUAUGAUUCAUGCUUCUCGCUGUCCAAAGAAGAACUCCAUAUGAUCUGACAGUCUACCACUUCGGCCUUCUGAUUGCUUAAGGUAACCUUUUAACAUAGAAUGGAUUUGCACAAUAUUGAUAAAAAUCUGUUACAUGCUAGCUGUGAAGACUUUGAAAGGGAAGGAGAAUACAUGUAUGUGGCACAGUACCUUCACUAAUGAUACUGGAAUAACUGCAGAUGCGCCCUCGAUGUAUAGAAACUGGCCCCCUGAAACCUGCGCUCAUUAGUGCCAACAGUUUUUUAGGACAACCACGUUAAAGCCCCAGUCACAAUGGAAACCCAGAUUUAUAAAUAACUGAAAAGUGUAUAAUUUGACCUACAAUGUUGGCUAUAUAUGACAAAGGAACAUCAACUUUUGAAAAAGAGUUCUGGACUUCAUCUAUGAUGCCAAGAUAUGAUUUUCCCUUUUUCCUGCACAUUCAUAAGGACGGAAUAAAUUCCAGACGAAAUUCUCAAGUUCCCUUGAAAUAAAAUGUGUGUAUAUGUAUUUACUGACUAUUGUAAAACACCUGUAACUGCAAGCAAUGAUGCUACCCUGCUCAUUGCUCUGAAUAAAAUCAUAGGAGCUCAUUCCGAAAACCCAUAGAGGUCUUGUGAAUUCAGCAUUCAAAGAACAUACUGCCUGAAUUUCUUUUCCAUGCCCAACCUGCCUCCGGAGCCAGUCAAAUUUGUCAGUCAUUUUUUUAAACAUGCGCUAAUUCUACAAGAAUUGCAGCUAUGAGAUAAACAGCAAGCCAGGCAAUCAAAUGGAGGCCGACAAUAGAACUGGAAACCCACCAUAGCAGUGAGAUUAAUUGACAAUAAAAUCUUAUUGGUGGAUAGUGUAGCUCACCCAUUUAUAAAUAUUCCAAAAUCCAUUAUUUCUGUCGGUAAUGAAGAAUAGUUCCCCUGCAUAAAUACAUUGAUGAUUGAACGGUAUGUAGGGGACAGAGAGUACAUAACCUGUACAUAAAGCCAUGCAGUCGUAUGACCUGCCAAGUAGCCUCUUUACCUGUAGAAGACCACUUAGGCUCACUUGGAGACUCCACUAUUGAAGGAUCAGCACCAGCAACACAGGUUCGCUUGUAGAUAUCACUGGUUUUAUAAGAUAAACAGAUCAAUUAACAUAUAAAAAUAUUUAGGCACUAGUCACAUGUGUAGUUCUGGCUUCUAACAGUUGAGCUCUUAAAGCAAUACAUGUAUGAUUAAGUAGGAUUAGCCAUUGAAUUAAAUUGAUUCCUUGAUCUUCUUUAUUCCACAGAGAAAACAUUUUAACAGACAAAGGAAAAUAAUAUCAAACUUAUAAUCUAUAAAUCAAUUUAUUUCUUCAAUGAAUACAAAGGAAAGUUAAGGUUAGCAGUUUUUUCAAACUUAAUAUUGAAUUUUGAAUAUACUACCAUAUGUUUUAGAACAAUUAUUUUAAUAUAUUAUUUAUGUUCUUACUUUUAAAAGGUUAAAAGUCUUUUUUUUCUUAAAUUAAAAAGAAAAAAAGAGGUCACCUUAAUUUGACACCAUUAAUUAACCAUGUUUAAAAGGGUAUAAUAUUAUUACCAUCAAAGAUAUUAUUUAAAAGGUUCAUUAUAAUUGUAAUUCAGCCCAAAAAAUUAAAAAAUCAGUUUUUCUUGAUUGGUACCAAAUACUUACCAGAUGAACCCGGCCGACUAACCUAUGAUGUUUCGCAUUUAACAGCGCUGUACAGAUAUUACUCACUUAACACCUUAUUUACAAGCAAAC
This 7831-nucleotide long non-coding RNA is filed under the name Daucus carota (carrot). RNAcentral's name for it is "long non-coding RNA (DCAR_LNC000696)". Lineage: Eukaryota; Viridiplantae; Streptophyta; Magnoliopsida; Apiales; Apiaceae. The record is from RNAcentral.